AUGGUAUCAGAGCUUCAGGCCUAUUCGGAUGCUACGUGGGCUAGUGAUCUCUCGGAUCGCCGUUCACUUUCUGCGUACUGUGUUUUCCUUGGUGGUUCUCUCAUUGCCUGGAAGACGAAGAAACAGACCGCAGUUUCCCGUUCGAGUGCAGAGGCUGAGUUGCGAGCUAUGGCUCUUUUGACGGCAGAGGUGACUUGGUUACGGUGGUUAUUUCAGGAUUUUGGUGUUUCUGUCACUACACCUACUCUGCUAUUGUCUGACAGUACAGGUGCUACUAGCAUUGUGCGCGACCCUGUGAAGCAUGAUCUCACCAAGCAUAUUGGUGUUGAUGCUUUUUAUGUGCGUGCUGGUGUGUAG
This 357-nucleotide ribosomal RNA is filed under the name Triticum aestivum (bread wheat). RNAcentral's name for it is "partial small subunit ribosomal RNA". Lineage: Eukaryota; Viridiplantae; Streptophyta; Magnoliopsida; Poales; Poaceae. The record is from RNAcentral.